GCUGACGAGUGGCGGACGGGUGAGUAAUGUCUGGGAAACUGCCUGAUGGAGGGGGAUAACUACUGGAAACGGUAGCUAAUACCGCAUAAUGUCGCAAGACCAAAGAGGGGGACCUUCGGGCCUCUUGCCAUCGGAUGUGCCCAGAUGGGAUUAGCUAGUAGGUGGGGUAACGGCUCACCUAGGCGACGAUCCCUAGCUGGU
RNAcentral lists this ribosomal RNA (201 nucleotides) under Escherichia coli. RNAcentral describes it as "partial 16S ribosomal RNA". It matches the Rfam family "Bacterial small subunit ribosomal RNA", at positions 87 to 291 of the family's 1533-position model. RNAcentral also lists the same sequence under 2 other names. The record is from RNAcentral. Lineage: Bacteria; Pseudomonadati; Pseudomonadota; Gammaproteobacteria; Enterobacterales; Enterobacteriaceae.